RNAcentral lists this ribosomal RNA (406 nucleotides) under uncultured bacterium. RNAcentral describes it as "bacterial SSU rRNA". It matches the Rfam family "Bacterial small subunit ribosomal RNA", at positions 17 to 429 of the family's 1533-position model. The record is from RNAcentral.
UCCUGGCUCAGAUUGAACGCUGGCGGCAUGCUUUACACAUGCAAGUCGAACGGCAGCGGGGACUUCGGUCCGCCGGCGAGUGGCGAACGGGUGAGUAAUGCAUCGGAACGUGCCUAUCAGUGGGGGAUAACGCUUCGAAAGGAGUGCUAAUACCGCAUAUUCUCUGAGGAGGAAAGCAGGGGACCUUAGGGCCUUGCGCUGAUAGAGCGGCCGAUGUCGGAUUAGCUAGUUGGUGAGGUAAAGGCUCACCAAGGCGACGAUCCGUAGCGGGUCUGAGAGGAUGAUCCGCCACACUGGGACUGAGACACGGCCCAGACUCCUACGGGAGGCAGCAGUGGGGAAUUUUGGACAAUGGGCGAAAGCCUGAUCCAGCCAUGCCGCGUGAGUGAAGAAGGCCUGGUGUAAG